CUUGCUUCUAUGACGUUAGCGGCGGACGGGUGAGUAACACGUGGGCAACCUGCCUGUAAGACUGGGAUAACUUCGGGAAACCGAAGCUAAUACCGGAUAGGAUCUUCUCCUUCAUGGGAGAUGAUUGAAAGAUGGUUUCGGCUAUCACUUACAGAUGGGCCCGCGGUGCAUUAGCUAGUUGGUGAGGUAACGGCUCACCAAGGCGAACGAUGCAUAGCCGACCUGAGAGGGUGAUCGGCCACACUGGGACUGAGACACGGCCCAGACUCCUACGGGAGGCAGCAGUAGGGAAUCUUCCGCAAUGGACGAAAGUCUGACGGAGCAACGCCGCGUGAGUGAUGAAGGCUUUCGGGUCGUAAAACUCUGUUGUUAGGGAAGAACAAGUACAAGAGUAACUGCUCGUACCUUGACGGUACCUAACCAGAAAGCCACGGCUAACUACGUGCCAGCAGCCGCGGUAAUACGUAGGUGGCAAGCGUUAUCCGGAAUUAUUGGGCGUAAAGCGCGCGCAGGCGGUUUCUUAAGUCUGAUGUGAAAGCCCACGGCUCAACCGUGGAGGGUCAUUGGAAACUGGGGAACUUGAGUGCAGAAGAGAAAAGCGGAAUUCCACGUGUAGCGGUGAAAUGCGUAGAGAUGUGGAGGAACACCAGUGGCGAAAGCGGCUUUUUUUGGUCUGUAACUGACGCU
RNAcentral lists this ribosomal RNA (687 nucleotides) under Bacillus sp. (in: firmicutes). Its description in RNAcentral is "bacterial SSU rRNA". It matches the Rfam family "Bacterial small subunit ribosomal RNA", at positions 75 to 747 of the family's 1533-position model. Lineage: Bacteria; Bacillati; Bacillota; Bacilli; Caryophanales; Bacillaceae. The record is from RNAcentral.